RNAcentral lists this ribosomal RNA (582 nucleotides) under uncultured bacterium. RNAcentral's name for it is "bacterial SSU rRNA". It matches the Rfam family "Bacterial small subunit ribosomal RNA", at positions 102 to 680 of the family's 1533-position model. The record is from RNAcentral.
ACGGGUGAGUAAUAUAUCGGAACGUGCCCUAGAGUGGGGGAUAACUAGUCGAAAGACUAGCUAAUACCGCAUACGAUCUAAGGAUGAAAGUGGGGGAUCGCAAGACCUCAUGCUCCUGGAGCGGCCGAUAUCUGAUUAGCUAGUUGGUGGGGUAAAAGCCUACCAAGGCGACGAUCAGUAGCUGGUCUGAGAGGACGACCAGCCACACUGGGACUGAGACACGGCCCAGACUCCUACGGGAGGCAGCAGUGGGGAAUUUUGGACAAUGGGGGCAACCCUGAUCCAGCAAUGCCGCGUGAGUGAAGAAGGCCUUCGGGUUGUAAAGCUCUUUUGUCAGGGAAGAAACGGUAGUAGCUAAUAUCUAUUACUAAUGACGGUACCUGAAGAAUAAGCACCGGCUAACUACGUGCCAGCAGCCGCGGUAAUACGUAGGGUGCAAGCGUUAAUCGGAAUUACUGGGCGUAAAGCGUGCGCAGGCGGUUGUGUAAGACAGAUGUGAAAUCCCCGGGCUCAACCUGGGAAUUGCAUUUGUGACUGCACGGCUAGAGUGUGUCAGAGGGGGGUAGAAUUCCACGUGUAGCA